This 1281-nucleotide ribosomal RNA is filed under the name Telothyria sp. T563. RNAcentral's name for it is "partial 28S ribosomal RNA". It matches the Rfam family "Eukaryotic large subunit ribosomal RNA", at positions 120 to 1225 of the family's 3401-position model. The record is from RNAcentral. Lineage: Eukaryota; Metazoa; Arthropoda; Insecta; Diptera; Tachinidae.
UUUGUCUUUAUGGCAAAUGUGAGAUGCAGUGUAUGGAAUGUCAAAUUUCUAAUAUGAGAAAUUAACGAUUUAAGUCCUUCUUAAAUGAGGCCAUUUACCCAUAGAGGGUGCCAGGCCCGUAUAACGUUAAUGAUUAUUAGAUGAUAUUUCCAAAGAGUCGUGUUGCUUGAUAGUGCAGCACUAAGUGGGUGGUAAACUCCAUCUAAAACUAAAUAUAACCAUGAGACCGAUAGCAAACAAGUACCGUGAGGGAAAGUUGAAAAGAACUCUGAAUAGAGAGUUAAAUAGUACGUGAAACUGCUUAGAGGUUAAGCCCGAUGAACCUGAAUAUCCAUUAUGGAAAAUUCAUCAUUAUGAUUUUAAUAUUUUGAUAAUAGUGUGCAUUUUUUCCAUAAGAGGACAUUGUAAUUUAUUAAUAUACUAAUUUAUCAUAAGAUCAAGGCAAAGUUUAUUCAGAUUAUUUUUACUAUUUUAUAUAGUAUUUAUAACAUAGAAUAAAUGCUUUUUGAUUUGAUAAAGUAUUUGAUAAUUUUAUAUAGUGCUUAAAUAAUAUUUUAUAAUAGCAUAUUAAUCAUUGAUUUUUAUGUUUUUUUAUAUGCACUUAUAUGAUUAACAAUGCGAAAGAUUCAGGAUACCUUCGGGACCCGUCUUGAAACACGGACCAAGGAGUCUAACAUAUUUGCAAGUUAUUGGGUAAAACCUAAUAGCGAAAUUAACAUAACAUGAUGGGAUUAGUUUUUAGUUAGAUAUAUACCUAUUAAUUCAAUCCCGGGGCGUUCUAUACAGUUAUGUGCAAUAAUAUUUUAUAUUAUUUGUAUCUCUAACUAGAGCGUACCUUGAGCAUAUAUGCUGUGACCCGAAAGAUGGUGAACUAUACUUGAUCAGGUUGAAGUCAGGGGAAACCCUGAUGGAAGACCGAAACAGUUCUGACGUGCAAAUCGAUUGUCAGAAUUGAGUAUAGGGGCGAAAGACCAAUCGAACCAUCUAGUAGCUGGUUCCCUCCGAAGUUUCCCUCAGGAUAGCUGGUGCAUUUAAAAUUUAUGUAAAAUAAUCUUAUCUGGUAAAGCGAAUGAUUAGAGGCCUUAGGGUCGAAACGAUCUUAACCUAUUCUCAAACUUUAAAUGGGUAAGAACCUCACCUUUCUUGGUAUGAAGGUCGUGGUUGUGAUAUAAUGUGCCCAGUGGGCCACUUUUGGUAAGCAGAACUGGCGCUGUGGGAUGAACCAAACGUAAUGUUACGGUGCCCAAAUUAACAACUCAUACAGAUACCAUGAAAGGCGUU